Molecule: ribosomal RNA, 2158 nt
Filed under: Triticum aestivum (bread wheat)
Lineage: Eukaryota; Viridiplantae; Streptophyta; Magnoliopsida; Poales; Poaceae
Description: partial small subunit ribosomal RNA
Source: RNAcentral
CCCACCACCAUCUCUCUCCUCUCCUCUGCUCCCUUCCUCUGUCCCUCUCGCACAGCAGAAGAGAACUCCUACCCUCCGGUGAGUCAGCACUGAGCUCGGCUCCCUGCUCCGUCAGCUGCUCUCCGGCGGCUGGCACCGGGAGCGGCGUUUUCCUUCAGGCAGGGGGUUAACUAAUUUGGGCGUCCUGAGAUCACAGAUGGCCGCAGCGGUGGCUGACGCGGCGGUGCCGGCGGUGGCGAAGGCGAACGGCGCCGGGGCGGGGUGCUGCGCGGCGAAGGGCCCCGGGUACGCCACGCCCAGGGAGGCCAUGGAGAAGGGCCCGCGGGAGGGGCUCCUCUACGUCACCUGCGUCUACAAUGGUACUGGAAUCAACAAGCCGGAUUACCUGGCUACAGUGGACGUCGACCCCAAUUCAGCGACCUACUCCCAGGUGAUCCACAGGCUCCCGGCCACCCACAUCGGCGACGAGCUGCAUCACUCCGGCUGGAACGCUUGCAGCUCCUGCCAUGGUGAUCCAUCCACGAGCCGGCGCUUCUUGAUUCUCCCUUCGUUGCUGUCUGGUCGCGUGUAUGUGGUCGACACUGCAAAGGAUCCGAGGGCGCCUGCUCUGCACAAGGUUGUCCAGGCUGAGGACAUUGCUGAGAAGACCGGGCUUGGGUUCCCUCACACAUCCCAUUGCCUUGCAACUGGGGAUAUCAUGAUUUCCUGCCUGGGAGACAAGGAGGGCAAUGCUGCUGGCAAUGGCUUUCUCCUGUUGGAUUCAGAGUUUAACGUCAAAGGGCGUUGGGAAAAGCCAGGUCACAGCCCCUUGUUUGGCUAUGAUUUCUGGUACCAGCCUCGUCACAAGACGAUGAUUAGCUCUUCAUGGGGAGCUCCGGCAGCUUUCAGGACAGGUUUCGAUCUCCAGCAUGUCCAGGAUGGUCUCUAUGGAAGGCACCUGCAUGUGUAUGACUGGCCUGGUGGUGAGCUCAAGCAGACACUGGAUCUAGGCAGCACAGGUCUUCUUCCACUGGAGGUGAGGUUUUUACAUGACCCAUCAAAGGACACUGGCUAUGUUGGCUGUGCUUUGACAAGCAACAUGGUGAGAUUCUUCAAAACUGCAGAUGGAUCAUGGAGCCAUGAGGUAGCUAUAUCCAUAGAGCCACUGAAGGUGCGCAACUGGAUGCUGCCAGAAAUGCCAGGAUUGAUAACUGACUUUGUCAUCUCUCUCGAUGACCGUUAUCUCUACUUGGUCAACUGGCUUCAUGGGGAUAUCAGGCAGUACAACAUUGAGGACCCUGCAAAGCCUGUGUUGGCUGGGCAAGUAUUUGUAGGUGGGCUUCUUCAAAAGGGCAGUGAUGUUGUCUAUGUGACCGACGAUGACAAAGAAGAGCAGUAUGCUGUGCCCCAAGUCAAGGGGCACCGGCUUAGAGGUGGGCCGCAGAUGAUUCAGCUGAGCUUGGAUGGCAAGAGGGUCUAUGUAACCAACUCUCUCUUCAGCCGAUGGGACGAGCAGUUCUAUGGCCCUGACCUUCUCAAGAAGGGAUCUCACAUGUUGCAGAUCGACGUCGACACCGAGGAAGGAGGGCUGACUGUCAACCCCGACUUCUUUGUGGAUUUUGGCACCGAGCCUGAAGGUCCCUCAUUGGCCCAUGAAAUGAGAUAUCCUGGGGGAGACUGCACCUCUGACAUAUGGAUCUAGGACGAAGGGUGUAGGGUGCAUAUGCAGCUGGAGAUCCAUGGUGUUAAGCUCACUGUAAUUAAGAUGGUUUCUUCCCUGCCUGCGGUGUUGUAUGUGAUGUGGUAUCAAUUGGAAUAAGUUCCUGAUAGAACCUCUGACAUUGGCUUCAUGGGAGCUUGUGCCCUAAUAAGAGUUGCCUCUGAUUCUGAAAUUUCUGAUGCUUUUGUAGGCCUUAUAUCUUCUGCUUGAAAUGUUCUAAACGAGAAUGAUUAAGCUGGAAGCAAAGUAACACAUGCAAUAGCCAUAUACAGUAUUAACCAGAGAUAUAAUGCUAUUUCACCAAAAUCAAAUAGUAUUUCUUGCAACCAACAGCAUGCAUGGUCUUGUAACCAAAAUUAUGUAUGUCAGUUGAUUGCUCUGCACCCGACGUACUGCCUCAGGGUAGUCGGGGUGGAUCUCCUUGUAGUUCGAAGGUAUUAGCUUACUAGUGCCUGUUUG